UACGUAGGGGUCGAGCGUUGUCCGGAUUUAUUGGGCGUAAAGGGUGGGCAGGUGGCCGGUGAUGUGCCGUGUGAAAGCGCCGAAGUAAUGUCGGCGAGGUCGCGGUAGACACAUCGGCUUGAGGCAGUGAGGGGGCGGUGGAAUUCCCGGUGUAGUGGUGAAAUGCGUAGAUAUCGGGAGGAACACCAGUGGCGCAAGCGGCCGCCUGGCACUGACCUGACACUGAGCCACGACGGCGUGGGGAGCAAACGGGAUUAGAUACCCCGGUAGUCCACGCAGUAAACGAUGCAUACCCGGUGUGUGGUGACGGUUUAACCCGUCGCUGCGUGCCUCAGCUUACGCGUUGAGUAUGCCGCCUGGGGACUACGAGCGCAAGCUUAAA
RNAcentral lists this ribosomal RNA (382 nucleotides) under uncultured bacterium. RNAcentral describes it as "bacterial SSU rRNA". It matches the Rfam family "Bacterial small subunit ribosomal RNA", at positions 524 to 898 of the family's 1533-position model. The record is from RNAcentral.